RNAcentral lists this non-coding RNA (28 nucleotides) under Mus musculus (house mouse). Lineage: Eukaryota; Metazoa; Chordata; Mammalia; Rodentia; Muridae. The record is from RNAcentral.
AGAGAUGUUCAUUGUCAAUCUGUGUGUG